This is a small nuclear RNA of Suricata suricatta (meerkat), 111 nucleotides long. The record is from Ensembl. NCBI's taxonomy places the organism in Eukaryota, Metazoa, Chordata, Mammalia, Carnivora, Herpestidae.
GUCUUCAUGCUCACUUCAGCAACACAUAUACUAAAAUUGGAAUGAUAUACAGACUAGCAUGACUCCUGUGCAAGGAGAAACAUGUAAAUUUGUGAAGUAUUACAUAUUUAA